RNAcentral lists this ribosomal RNA (253 nucleotides) under uncultured Eubacteriales bacterium. RNAcentral's name for it is "uncultured Clostridiales bacterium partial 16S ribosomal RNA". It matches the Rfam family "Bacterial small subunit ribosomal RNA", at positions 524 to 776 of the family's 1533-position model. The record is from RNAcentral. Lineage: Bacteria; Bacillati; Bacillota; Clostridia; Eubacteriales.
UACGUAGGGGGCAAGCGUUAUCCGGAUUUACUGGGUGUAAAGGGAGCGUAGGCGGCUUAGUAAGUCAGAAGUGAAAGCCCGCAGCUCAACUGCGGGACUGCUUUUGAAACUGCCAAGCUAGAGUGUCGGAGAGGUAAGUGGAAUUCCUAGUGUAGCGGUGAAAUGCGUAGAUAUAUGGAGGAACACCAGUGGCGAAGGCGGCGAUCUGGGGUGCAACUGACGCUCAGUCCCGAAAGCGUGGGGAGCAAAUAGG